This 401-nucleotide long non-coding RNA is filed under the name Struthio camelus australis. RNAcentral's name for it is "lncRNA (ENSSCUG00000001058.1)". Lineage: Eukaryota; Metazoa; Chordata; Aves; Struthioniformes; Struthionidae. The record is from RNAcentral.
UGACUGGCGACGUCUGCAGUGUGUGUCCCUCGGCUCGUACCCACACCGCCUUGCAGGGGCAGGGGAGGAGAGCUGCUGGGCUUUGCCGCGCAGUGCCUGACUGCGCUGUAAGACAGAUUGUGCUGUGAGAAAGUAAGAAAUGGACCUAAUGAAAUGAAUUGAACUUUCACCAGAGCACUUGCUAAGUGAGUCAUGAAUCAAACACAACAGGGACCACUGGACAUCCAUCUGCUGUGGUUAGAGGCUGCCUUGUAAUUCCUCAGAGCUGACAGAACCCCAUAAGAAAAGGAAACGGACUGGGCUCCACAAGUGAAGAUGUGCCUCUAUCUAGAACACAGAUGGAUGCGAUUAAGAGAGCAUUUAACUACAGGUUGGCUAUAGAAGACCUCGUGGGAGAGGAA